UUUUUAUUUUUAUUUUUCAAUUUUAACCAUCUGAUACUUGUCCACCAAUUGGCUAGUUUGGUAAUCAAUUCAAGGUAAUUUUUGGAUUAUGAUGCAUCUAAGUUGGUGCUGACAGAUUAAUUUGAGUUACUUGUAAGCCACAUAUAUCAACCAUCACAUCUUGCCAAAGUUGUUAUGCCUGAAAGCUACAUCUGCAGAAAUACUUUACAGUGAGAUUGAGGAAAGUGAACUCUCUGAUGCAAGCUCAACAAAUUUGAAAGAAGAUGGAUCUUCACUGUCCCUAACUCUGAUCAGAAAGCAGAUAGAUAUGUUAUACCAACUCAUAAAUUCACCAGUUAAAUGGUUAGUCUUGUAAAAUAUAUGGAAUGGUUUUUUGAAGAUCUGUUUUCCCUUCCACUUCUUUAUUUCUUUCAUCGGUAUGGCAUUUUGGAGUUAAUCUAUGUGCAUAUGGAAAAUCAGGGAUGGUAUUCAAAUAAACUUUCAUAUCUAAAAGAAAAAGUGCCUUCCGCGAUAGGAAUUCCAACAUCAGUUGCCCUGCCCUCUGGAGUUUUUGAGAAGGUUUUGUUAGAUGAUUCAAACCAGAAAUGACAUAGGUGAUUAUCAAGCAAAUGCUAAAUGUGUAUGCCUAGAUGAGGGCUUCACUUGGUGAAGAAAAGGAUAGAUUUGGUUUAUGGGGGAGGGAGUGUGGGAUUGAUGGGUUUGAUCUCCCAAGCUGUUUAUGAUGGAGGCUGCCAUGUUCUUGGUUCUCUGUCAGAGUUUGGUUUCCUUGGAUUCGAGUUGGGUUAUUCAAUGGAAAAUCCAAAUCAUUGGUUGUGUGGGAAGCAGUUGAUGCAUGUCUUGUUGUCAUCUGAUAGGGAAGAAGACAAUUGAACUUGAAAUAUGCAUUGGACAGAAUGGUAACACUGCAAAUAUAAAAGAUACCAAGCGUAGUAUGUCAUCAGGUUUAGAGAUGAAGCUUGAUGAGCUGCGGAAAGAGCUCUUUUCAAGUCAUGAAGGAAUAUUGCCACAUACCAUUCUUUCCACCCAACAGAUCAGCAUGUUAAGCGCCGAAAAACCAACUUCCAUGGAGCAGCUAAGGACUAGCCUGGUUCUGACUAUCAUAGGAGUAGUUUUCAAAGGGCUAAUGGUGGGUGAUCCACUCUUCUCGUUGCAUACAAGUGGGGCAAUCCAGAGUUCAAAUCACUUCAGCCUUUUGACGCCACUCGUGCUAGGAGUAGACCAUAUAGAGGAUUUGUUUUUAUUUAUAUUCAAGACCAUUUAUUGUAAUAAAUUUUGUUUAAUAUUCGGU
This is an RNA transcript of Magnolia sinica, 1288 nucleotides long. It is a transcript of the gene named alpha-glucan water dikinase, chloroplastic-like, with no coding region annotated. The record is from RefSeq and is a predicted model, not a curated record. Lineage: Eukaryota; Viridiplantae; Streptophyta; Magnoliopsida; Magnoliales; Magnoliaceae. The transcript has 5 exons.